GCAGGAGUGGCGGAAUGGCAGACGCGCAUGGUUCAGGUCCAUGUGUUGGCAACAACAUGAGGGUUCAAGUCCCUUCUCCUGCACUA
Molecule: transfer RNA, 86 nt
Filed under: Butyrivibrio sp.
Lineage: Bacteria; Bacillati; Bacillota; Clostridia; Lachnospirales; Lachnospiraceae
Also listed under: 6 other names
Description: tRNA-Leu
Rfam family: tRNA
About the family: Transfer RNA (tRNA) molecules are approximately 80 nucleotides in length. Their secondary structure includes four short double-helical elements and three loops (D, anti-codon, and T loops).
Source: RNAcentral